Molecule: long non-coding RNA, 1278 nt
Filed under: Sus scrofa (pig)
Lineage: Eukaryota; Metazoa; Chordata; Mammalia; Artiodactyla; Suidae
Description: lncRNA (ENSSSCG00030070158.1)
Source: RNAcentral
CUGCAUCCUGACUGCUGGGCUGUAAUCACACCUGCAGACAAUGGUCUUUUACCGUUCUGGCUUCUGGCAUGUCUUCCCAGGAAGACUGUAGGCAAGGUGAGGGCAGGCAUGCAGAGAACAAUGCUUAGCACAAAGUCAACACACUCAGUAGCACACAGUAGGUGCUUAAAAAUGUCCUUCCUUUUUCUCCCUCCAUCCUUCCUUUUUGUACCUGUGUUGAAAGCAGCAUAAUCACCAUAGGCUAAAGCUGCAGGGUUCCACUGACUUUCAUUCUAUGGGUCAGUAUGACUAGAUAUCAACAAAGUGAGAUUUUUUAGGGAUUAAAGAAGCUGGUUUCCAUGAAUGUGCUUCUCAGUUGAGUUGAUGGAUGACUCUGGUUCAGUAUUCCAUGAAACCAUAUGGGUAGCUACACAGUAAAGCAGAAUGUCUCCUGUAUUGUGCUCUGAUGGGAUGGGGGAACAGGGGCAGGCAGAGGGGGUUAUAUCAGGCUGCAGGGGUGGUCCCUCUCCCUGAGGAGGUCAAAAACAAAAAGAUUCGGGGAGUUCCUAUGUGCACAGCAGAAUCCGACUAGUCUACAUGAGGAUGUAGGUUUGAUCCCUGGCCUCACUCAGUGGGUCAGGGAUCCUGCAUUGCUGUGGCUGUGGUGUAGGCCGGUGGUUGUAGCUCUGAUUUGACCCCUAGCCUGGGAACUUCCAUAUGCCGUAAGUGCAGCCCUAAAAAAGCAAAAAAAAAAAAAAAAAAAAAGAGUUCCAAGUUGCCGAUUCAGAUCCUUGUGACUAUCAGCUAAUGGAGAUUGUGGGGCCCAUGUGAUUAUGACUCCCCUCUUUCAGGCAGUUGUAUAUAUUGGUGCAUGUACAAGGAAGAGGCAGAGAGCACUCUCACACUGAGUCAUCAGAGGAGCAUUUAGUAAAGGUUUGAUGGCAAAGUGUGGGUAGGGUUUAGGAAAUCAGAGUCCUGCAGUACCCUGGGCUGGCAGCCCCCUGGCCUGAAGACCCAGCAGGAGGCCAGAGGUCAAGGGAGUCCAUUGGAAUAGUUCCUACAGGUCAAUGUCCUGAACUUGGCCCACCUGAAGGUCCUAAAGUGAUCUCUCUCCUGCACUACUUGGUUUGUGCCACUCAGGGCAUGCUCACACCGCCUGCUUUGGAGUACCAUGUUGGUGAAAACCCUGUGUCCUUGGAGAAAGCUGGUUCCCGUUUUCCUGAGAGGGAGCCCAGAGCUUGAAAGGCCGCAGUUGGCACUUCAAGAAGGAAGUGGAGAAUAAAGACAGCGCCUGGAGCA